GACGAACGCUGGCGGCGUGCUUAACACAUGCAAGUCGAACGGAAAGGCCCUGCUUGCGGGGUACUCGAGUGGCGAACGGGUGAGUAACACGUGGGUGAUCUGCCCUGCACUUCGGGAUAAGCCUGGGAAACUGGGUCUAAUACCGGAUAGGAGCCAUUUUUAGUGUGAUGGUUGGAAAGUUUUUUCGGUGUAGGACGAGCUCGCGGCCUAUCAGCUUGUUGGUGGGGUAAUGGCCUACCAAGGCGGCGACGGGUAGCCGGCCUGAGAGGGUGGACGGCCACAUUGGGACUGAGAUACGGCCCAGACUCCUACGGGAGGCAGCAGUGGGGAAUAUUGCACAAUGGGCGCAAGCCUGAUGCAGCGACGCCGCGUGGGGGAUGACGGCCUUCGGGUUGUAAACUCCUUUCGCUAGGGACGAAGCUUUUUGUGACGGUACCUAGAGAAGAAGCACCGGCUAACUACGUG
Molecule: ribosomal RNA, 465 nt
Filed under: uncultured bacterium
Lineage: Bacteria
Description: partial 16S ribosomal RNA
Rfam family: Bacterial small subunit ribosomal RNA
Source: RNAcentral